AGCUGGUUUAUCACGUCUCAUUCAAGUUUAUAUUCGUUACCUGACAGUAGUGCACAAGUGUGUUGUACGGUUAUAUCCAGUGUUAUGACAGAAGUCUGAAGUGAAUUCUUGCGGCCCAUAUAUAGUAAACUUCUUAUACUGAAGACGAAAGCUCCAUUUGGAAAAUCUACAGUUAGUAAUCCUCCCAUGUAUCUUACAGUUCACUACGGAUACAAAAAUUCUGGUUUUCGUCUGGAUAUUUUAAAAGAACAUAAUGUAUAUACAAAUACAAGCUGUCGUGGUUUGAACUAUACUUGAAAUGACUUGAUAAACGCUUCAUGUAACGCUAAAACUGUCUGUACCAGUGUUGGUAGUACCCAAGUGAAAAUGCUGUGCUGAGUGGUAUAUUACUACCUUAAAAAAUAAGCAGAAACUCGACGUUUCGAGCGAAGACCCUUCGCCACUCAUAUACCACUCAUAUAACCACUCAGCACAGCAUUUUCAUGUAACGCUUCUGUUUUCCGAGAUAGUUCAACAAAGUAGUUCAGACACAAUCCGCGGCAGCUCGUGUAAGCUUAUAUCACGUACUUCUGGGAAGUCUUCCUUUACCAUUGACAAAAUUGUUGUAACAUUGUUACCGCAGCUUGACAAUUUUACGAGGACUCUACUUUGUCCAAGCAAGUGACGUUUUUGGAACGCGGACGUGAGAUUACCGCGAGGAACUGGAUUAAAAAUGACAAAACAUAAGAUUUUUCAAGUUUUUUGCUUGCUUUAUAAAUACUUAUACCAAUUUACGGGUGACGUCCGUGUUGACAAAAAUGCCGCUUGCUUAAAGAUGUUGUAAAGUCCGUGUUAAAAAUUCAGUAUAAUACGUAUCUAAUCGUAUUUUACAACUGUGGCACUGAGUUCAAAAUGUUAACAAAGCGUUUGUUUACAUUACGGACUUUGCAGCAUCUUUAAACUCACUAUUACGGCCGAUGGUUCUACUCAUCAACGAGAGCUUGACAUUGAGUACGAAAAUUUAAUAACAUUUUUAUUAUCUACAAAUUUAUUAUCUACAAAUUAAAAUACAUGUUCAGGCCUGUGAGAGACCCCAGGUCAUAGCUUCCAGGUAAAUUGCUGCAAUUUCAGACCAUUCUGGGGACUGAAUAAUUGAUUGAAAAAACGUGAACUGUUUUAAAUAUAGUUUGCUUUUGUUACAAAUGGAGAUAAACAAACAAUGAAUGUAGUUGUAGCUGCGAUUACUUGCUUCAUUUCUUGUUGUAUAUAGACAUUUAGUGUCCUAUAUUAAUAUUUGUUCUCAUAACGGUUAUAGGUGCAGGGGCCGGUUGUACGAAGGUCGGAUAGCGCUAUCCACUGGAUAGUGAUUUUUUCAACCUUUGUAAAAUGCUUGAAUAACUGUGAAACUACGGAUAUAGACGACACAAGAAGUAUAAAAAACAUUUAACUUAUAAAUACUAAACUUUAAUAUGAGUUAUACCAAUCAACGACUGAUUUAACAAAGCUUGAAAAGAUCAAUAUCCGGUGGAUAGCGCUAUCUACUGUAGACUUGCCCAUACGAACCGCGAAAAAAACUGGAAAGGACUUUGGGAAAGUCUAAGCGCUAUCCAGCCUUCGUACAACCGGCCCCAGAAGUCAGGAUACGAAUGCUUUAGGUUGAGUUUGUGUGUCUAAUACAAAACCAAGGCUGGCCGAUAAUUUAAGAAAAUAUAAAAAUAAACAAAUUCCGAA
This 1710-nucleotide long non-coding RNA is filed under the name Paramuricea clavata. The record is from RNAcentral. Lineage: Eukaryota; Metazoa; Cnidaria; Anthozoa; Malacalcyonacea; Plexauridae.